Molecule: ribosomal RNA, 619 nt
Filed under: Pseudomonas sp. E6F5
Lineage: Bacteria; Pseudomonadati; Pseudomonadota; Gammaproteobacteria; Pseudomonadales; Pseudomonadaceae
Description: bacterial SSU rRNA
Rfam family: Bacterial small subunit ribosomal RNA
Source: RNAcentral
UGGGGGAUAACGUUCGGAAACGGACGCUAAUACCGCAUACGUCCUACGGGAGAAAGCAGGGGACCUUCGGGCCUUGCGCUAUCAGAUGAGCCUAGGUCGGAUUAGCUAGUUGGUGAGGUAAUGGCUCACCAAGGCGACGAUCCGUAACUGGUCUGAGAGGAUGAUCAGUCACACUGGAACUGAGACACGGUCCAGACUCCUACGGGAGGCAGCAGUGGGGAAUAUUGGACAAUGGGCGAAAGCCUGAUCCAGCCAUGCCGCGUGUGUGAAGAAGGUCUUCGGAUUGUAAAGCACUUUAAGUUGGGAGGAAGGGCAGUUACCUAAUACGUGAUUGUUUUGACGUUACCGACAGAAUAAGCACCGGCUAACUCUGUGCCAGCAGCCGCGGUAAUACAGAGGGUGCAAGCGUUAAUCGGAAUUACUGGGCGUAAAGCGCGCGUAGGUGGUUUGUUAAGUUGGAUGUGAAAUCCCCGGGCUCAACCUGGGAACUGCAUUCAAAACUGACUGACUAGAGUGUGGUAGAGGGUGGUGGAAUUUCCUGUGUAGCGGUGAAAUGCGUAGAUAUAGGAAGGAACACCAGUGGCGAAGGCGACCACCUGGACCAACACUGACACUGAGG